Molecule: ribosomal RNA, 292 nt
Filed under: uncultured bacterium
Lineage: Bacteria
Description: partial 16S ribosomal RNA
Rfam family: Bacterial small subunit ribosomal RNA
Source: RNAcentral
GUGCCAGCCGCCGCGGUAAUACAGAGGGUACAAACGUUGUUCGGAAUCACUGGGCUUAAAGCGCACGUAGGUGGUUCGGUAAGUGCGAUGUGAAAGCCCCCGGCCCAACCGGGGAACUGCAUCGCAGACUGCCGAGCUUGAGAGCGGUAGGGGAGACUAGAACUCCUGGUGGAGCGGUGAAAUGCGUAGAUAUCAGGAGGAAUACCGGUGGCGAAGGCGAGUCUCUGGUCCGCUUCUGACACUUAGGUGCGAAAGCUAGGGGAGCAAACGGGAUUAGAUACCCCCGUAGUCC